GACGAACGCUGGCGGCGUGCUUAACACAUGCAAGUCGAACGGUAAGGCCCUUCGGGGUACACGAGUGGCGAACGGGUGAGUAACACGUGGGUGAUCUGCCCUGCACUUCGGGAUAAGCCUGGGAAACUGGGUCUAAUACCGGAUAGGACCACUGCCUGCAUGGGUGGUGGUGGAAAGCUUCUGCGGUGUGGGAUGGGCCCGCGGCCUAUCAGCUUGUUGGUGGGGUGAUGGCCUACCAAGGCGACGACGGGUAGCCGGCCUGAGAGGGUGACCGGCCACACUGGGACUGAGGUACGGCCCAGACUCCUACGGGAGGAAGCAGUGGGGAAUAUUGCACAAUGGGCGCAAGCCUGAUGCAGCGACGCCGCGUGAGGGAUGACGGCCUUCGGGUUGUAAACCUCUUUCAGCACCGACGAAGCGCAAGUGACGGUAGGUGCAGAAGAAGGACCGGCCAACUACGUGCCAGCCGCCGCCGUAA
Molecule: ribosomal RNA, 478 nt
Filed under: uncultured bacterium
Lineage: Bacteria
Description: partial 16S ribosomal RNA
Rfam family: Bacterial small subunit ribosomal RNA
Source: RNAcentral